UCCCAGGAGGAAAGUAUUAGCCAACUCAGUUAGGAAGUCAUGAAACCACUGUUCGUAAGCCACAGAACAAUUUAUGUCUACCAAGAGAAUGAGAGAUCGAUCUCAUAGUCUGAUAUUUAGAAUAUAUGAGAGUGAUAUUGAUAAGGUCUUAAUGUGUGUAGUUUUACCUCACUCGAACUCUGAUCUCCAAGUCGCAAAGGAGCAACAUUUCUGCUCUAUCCAGAUUACAUUUCUGCUCUAUCAUCAUAAAUCAACCAGCUUAAACUCUUAUAUUGUAUUAUAGCUAAUGUAUGCUUUCUCUGAUUACAUACCUUUUUGUGGUUUUGGGGAUUGCAGAUGGUGCCUCCUAGUUAUGCCAUUAUACGUUCCCAAGGAGAGGAACUGGAGAAGGCAACAAAGGAGUUCAUCGAGGUACUAAGAAUACUGGAGAAAGGAAUCAUGGAGGACUU
RNAcentral lists this long non-coding RNA (449 nucleotides) under Musa acuminata (dwarf banana). RNAcentral's name for it is "long non-coding RNA (MACU_LNC000706)". Lineage: Eukaryota; Viridiplantae; Streptophyta; Magnoliopsida; Zingiberales; Musaceae. The record is from RNAcentral.